UAGCGUAUAUUAAAGUUGUUGCGGUAAAAAAGCUCGUAGUUGGAUUUCUGUUGAGGGCGACCGGUCCAUACCAUGUAUGUGCAUCUGGUUCGGCCUCGGCAUCCUUGCGAUAGACGUUUCUGCGCUUGAUUGCGUGGAGCGGAUUUCGCAACUUUUACUUUGAGGAAAUUAGAGUGUUCACGGCAGGCUAUCGCCAGAAUACAUUAGCAUGGAAUAAUACUAUAGGAUCUUGAUUCUAUUUUGUUGGUUUCUAGAAUUAGGAUAAUGAUUAAUAGGGACAAUUGGGGGCAUUCGUAUCAACACGUC
RNAcentral lists this ribosomal RNA (306 nucleotides) under Amoebophrya sp. Its description in RNAcentral is "SSU rRNA". It matches the Rfam family "Eukaryotic small subunit ribosomal RNA", at positions 595 to 906 of the family's 1831-position model. Lineage: Eukaryota; Dinophyceae; Syndiniales; Amoebophryaceae. The record is from RNAcentral.